This 329-nucleotide ribosomal RNA is filed under the name Citrobacter freundii. RNAcentral's name for it is "partial 23S ribosomal RNA". It matches the Rfam family "Bacterial large subunit ribosomal RNA", at positions 911 to 1238 of the family's 2925-position model. Lineage: Bacteria; Pseudomonadati; Pseudomonadota; Gammaproteobacteria; Enterobacterales; Enterobacteriaceae. The record is from RNAcentral. RNAcentral also lists the same sequence under 2 other names.
UGUUUCGGCUAGGGGGUCAUCCCGACUUACCAACCCGAUGCAAACUGCGAAUACCGAAGAAUGUUAUCACGGGAGACACACGGCGGGUGCUAACGUCCGUCGUGAAGAGGGAAACAACCCAGACCGCCAGCUAAGGUCCCAAAGUCAUGGUUAAGUGGGAAACGAUGUGGGAAGGCACAGACAGCCAGGAUGUUGGCUUAGAAGCAGCCAUCAUUUAAAGAAAGCGUAAUAGCUCACUGGUCGAGUCGGCCUGCGCGGAAGAUGUAACGGGGCUAAACCAUGCACCGAAGCUGCGGCAGCGACACUAUGUGUUGUUGGGUAGGGGAGCG